This 457-nucleotide ribosomal RNA is filed under the name uncultured bacterium. RNAcentral's name for it is "bacterial SSU rRNA". It matches the Rfam family "Bacterial small subunit ribosomal RNA", at positions 932 to 1394 of the family's 1533-position model. The record is from RNAcentral.
GUGGAGCNAUGUGGUUUAAUUUCGAAGCAAACGGCGCAGAACCCUUACCAAACCCUUGACAUCCCCUAUUAGCGGUGUUUUUUAGAGAGAGAUUCCUUCAGUUUGGGCGGGAUAGGUGACAGGUGCUGCAUGGCUGUCGUCAGCUCUUGUGUCGUGAGAUGUUCGGUUAAGUCCGGCAACGAGCGCAACCCACACCCUUAGUUGCCAGCAGUUCGGCUGGGCACUCUAGGGGAACUGCCCGUGAUAAGCGGGAGGAAGGUGUGGAUGACGUCAAGUCCUCAUGGCCCUUACGGGUUGGGCUACACACGUGCUACAAUGGUGGUGACAGUGGGUUAAUCCCCAAAAACCAUCUCAGUUCGGAUUGUCGUCUGCAACUCGACGGCAUGAAGUCGGAAUCGCUAGUAAUCGCGUAACAGCAUGACGCGGUGAAUACGUUCCCGGGCCUUGACACACCGCC